This is a small nuclear RNA of Cavia aperea (Brazilian guinea pig), 107 nucleotides long. NCBI's taxonomy places the organism in Eukaryota, Metazoa, Chordata, Mammalia, Rodentia, Caviidae. The record is from Ensembl.
GCACUCGCUUUGGUAGUACAUGUACUAAAAUUGGAAUGGUACAGAUAAAAGUAUCAUGGCCCCUGAGCAAGGAUGACAUGCACAUUCACAAAGUGUUCUGUAUUUUA